Molecule: ribosomal RNA, 255 nt
Filed under: uncultured bacterium
Lineage: Bacteria
Description: partial 16S ribosomal RNA
Rfam family: Bacterial small subunit ribosomal RNA
Source: RNAcentral
GACGAACGCUGGCGGCGUGCUUAACACAUGCAAGUCGAGCGGUAAGGCCCUUUCGGGGGUACACGAGCGGCGAACGGGUGAGUAACACGUGGGUGACCUGCCCUCAGCUCUGGGAUAAGCCUGGGAAACCGGGUCUAAAUACCGGGAUAUGACUCCAUGACGCAAUGUUGUGGGGUUGGAAAGCCUUGUGCGGCUGAGGAUGGGCCCGCGGCCUAUCAGCUUGUUGGUGGGGUGAUGGCCUACCAAGGCGACGAC